UAACUGGCUUGUGGCAGCCAAGCGUUCAUAGCGACGUUGCUUUUCAAUCCUUCGAUAUCGGCUUUUACAGCCUUUGUUUUAGCAGGAAUUGGAGGUCGAUUUGUCGCUAGUAAUGAAGGGG
RNAcentral lists this non-coding RNA (121 nucleotides) under Linnemannia elongata AG-77. Its description in RNAcentral is "Mortierella elongata AG-77 Eukaryotic large subunit ribosomal RNA". It matches the Rfam family "Eukaryotic large subunit ribosomal RNA", at positions 2827 to 2954 of the family's 3401-position model. The record is from Rfam by way of RNAcentral. Lineage: Eukaryota; Fungi; Mortierellomycota; Mortierellomycetes; Mortierellales; Mortierellaceae.